RNAcentral lists this unclassified non-coding RNA (212 nucleotides) under Hevea brasiliensis (rubber tree). The record is from RNAcentral. Lineage: Eukaryota; Viridiplantae; Streptophyta; Magnoliopsida; Malpighiales; Euphorbiaceae.
UGCAACUUCUAGACUGCAAGGUCUUUUGCAUCACCAGAAAGACGAUUUUCUGAAACAGCAGGCCCAUUUGCAGAAUUUUGUAGUUCAUUAAUUGUUCCGUUAAAAUUCAUUUUCCUCCCUGAUACCUUAACACUGCCUCCAUGCAAAGGUUGCUCAUGAUCCGAUCUACAUUCUCCAGUUACACCACUUGAAUCAGAAGAUUCUGAUUCACA